Molecule: ribosomal RNA, 253 nt
Filed under: uncultured bacterium
Lineage: Bacteria
Description: partial 16S ribosomal RNA
Rfam family: Bacterial small subunit ribosomal RNA
Source: RNAcentral
UACGAAGGGGGCUAGCGUUGCUCGGAAUCACUGGGCGUAAAGCGCACGUAGGCGGCUUUUUAAGUCAGGGGUGAAAUCCUGGAGCUCAACUCCAGAACUGCCUUUGAUACUGAGAAGCUUGAGUCCGGGAGAGGUGAGUGGAACUGCGAGUGUAGAGGUGAAAUUCGUAGAUAUUCGCAAGAACACCAGUGGCGAAGGCGGCCGACUGGGCUGUACCUGACGCUGAGGCGCGAAAGCCAGGGGAGCGAACGGG